Molecule: long non-coding RNA, 1411 nt
Organism: Anas platyrhynchos (mallard)
Lineage: Eukaryota; Metazoa; Chordata; Aves; Anseriformes; Anatidae
Source: RefSeq, a predicted model, not a curated record
GUCAUCAGCCCUCUGUAAGUGCCUCAGUGAAGCUUCAUAAAUAGAUUAGUAAACAAGGAAAAAUUGGGAAAAAAUCCUGUUAUAUCCAUACAGUCCCGUUUAAUGUUACCGUAGUGCGAGCAUGCAAAGAGGCACCAGCGACAGUCACUCUAAAAGAAAAGUAGCCUUAAACUUCAAUCUCCUGAAAUUAAUUAGUAUAAAUUAAAACGAAGUGAAGGCGAAAGGUCGCUGGGGUUGCACUGCCACCUGCUGGGGACGGCAUGGGGACGGCAUGGCGAGAGGCACUUUUCCUAGAAAAUAGCACGGAAAUGGGUGCGUGCAUUUUCCUGCUCCGUGCGAAGCUGUUCGCUGCACGUGUGUCGUACAGCAGAAAUUCCGUCUUUAUCCUUUCCAAGAACAGCAACAAAUACCAUGACCAGUAAGAACUAACUUUGGCCUAGUCUUCUCAUCUAGUACCACACAGCAUUGUGGCAGAGCAGUGCUCUAUAACAAGAAGCGCUGAGCUUAUUGCACAAAGACUCAGAGUCAUAGAAUGGUUUGGAUUGGAAGAGACCUUAAUGAUCACCUACUCCAGCCCUCCUGGCACGGGCAGGGUCACCUCCCACUAGAAAUUUAUUUUAUUCAUGCCUACCAUCACUUGUCCUGCAUCUGAAUCAAGUUCAGUGCCAAAUAUUUGAUAUGUCCCCUGCGAGAUCUGCUGCAUGCAGCUUGGUGUGAUGCAAAUGCUGAACAAGCCUUGAAGACUAAGCAAUCCAACAAGAAAAUAUUAUUGGUCAUGAGGCAGCGCUUGAUCACCAACAAAUCACAUUAACAGAUUGUACUGUUAAAUGGAAGCCUGCAUGGUGAUGCCUGUUAAUCACUGUCAUCUACAAGCUUGAAUUUAUGGAAUGUAUGUCUCUAAUGCAACUUUUGAAACACGAGGAUAGUCUGAACAAAUGAGGAGGUGCAAAGCAAACAAACUAAUCCAGAGCUACCACAAGGUGGGGUUAGGUCAUUUACGAUCUGACCAGUCCACAAGGACUGAAGUGCUCCAGAGCUGCCCUGGUCCCCAGCUGCCAGAGUCCACCUGGCAGCUAAACAAGCAGUGGGCUCCUCCUCUCCUGGAGACAAACCCGGUCCUCAGGCUCACUCCCCAGCUAAGACAUCUGUAUCCUGAAAAUAGGCUGAAGAUUUCUUAUUAUGUUGUUUCUCUGGCUGUUUGUGUAAGUAAAUCUUGUAGUCAGGCAAUGCAUGAACAGUUUGGCACAUAUAAUUUUCUCAAUGUAUUCAGAUGUAGUGCCCUGAAUACUAAGCAUUGUGCUCUCAUCAGUGGAAAUGCCUGAUUGUGAAUGUUGUGUUGCUUUUUUUUUUUUUUUUCUCUUGGCAGUUGGGGUUAUAUGUAAAUUUUGCACUUAUGUGUACAUUUCAAAUA